AGCAACAUGGGCAAAUUUGUUGCGAACACGAUCGUUUGCAUCUCUUCGUCUUUCCUUUCUUCUGAGUUGAGCAGAACCUCCACCCCGAUAUGCCUGAGUAGAUCGGUAGGUAUCCCAUUUCUUGUGCCUUUCUGUGCUGUAUCUCCUAUACUAACUCUCUUUCCUUUUCUUAAACUCGAACAAUGGGAGGAUCCAACUGUAGAAAUUGUGGUUCUCGAUCUUCUCUUCCUUGUUCUGUGAGAUCUCAAAUUUUUAGUAAGAUCUCGUUCCGUGAGUAAAGCACCCUUGUAUACAUGUCAUCCAGCAUGGUUCAUAUGAAACAAAAAAUCUUUGAGGGAAGAUUUAUUAAGUGUCCAUGACACUUCACCAUCUGCAGAUAUAAUUAAUGUUCACUCAAACUAGGUCCGAGCAACAUAGUCGAUCACUAUAUGUUGUGUUGGUUCAUCUGAUGUUGUUAUUACAGAUCAAGUUACUGGUCGUCUGAUUGCCGUGGAGCAUAUCCAAGUUCUUACUAUUUGCUUCUUCUUUUAAAAAAAUAAAUUAAAUUGACUCAGGCUUGCACCGAUUUUAUUAUAAACAAUAUAAAAGAGGAACAAGGUCUGGCCGACCCAAUAUUGAGCGCCCCUAGUAAGUAGCCGAUAAAACUUGACAACAAGUGUCUAGAAGGCUCUAGAUAGCCUUAAUCCUUGUAUGUAUCUCCUCUCCGAGGUUAGGGAAGUAACUCUUCACUUAUGUGCCGUCGGCAGUCAUUUGCAUCUCCUCAUCUCUUCGUUCACCUGAGCUGAGCAGAAGCUCCACCCCGAUGUACCUGUGUAGAUCGGACGUAUCCCCUUUUCAGUGCCUUUCUGUGCUAUAUCACCUUUACUGACUCUCUUUCCUUUUCUGAAACUCAGACGAUGGGAGAAUCCAUCUGUGGGAAUGAUGCUUCUCGAUCUUCUCUUCCAUGCUCUCUGACUCGUUCUGUGAGUAAAGCACCCCUGUAUUUUGCUGAAACACUCUUUUGGUAUUUGAGUCCAUUGUACACUCCACAUCCCCUCAGUUGUUCUGAUCCCUAAUGAUUGACGAUGCUGAUAAUGACUAUCACUGGUAGUAAUGUGCCUUUUGUUGCUGAAGAAAAGCUGUGUAUAUAAAUGUUUGAUGAUUCCUUUGUCUGUAUUGAUUCCGUAAAGAUUAUCCAUUGUUCCUUGCCUCUGUGCUAUGUAAUCGUACUAUGUAUGUUGCUUCUCCUUUUCCCCUUUCCCUGCUGUCAAUAAUUCUCUCUGUCUUGAUUCCUAGUGUUGAUAUUUGUUGUUUAUCUAUGUUAACAAUCUUUCUAGCUAAACUUGGUAGAUCAGUAAAUGAGUUAAACUCAAGCCUACCUGUGUUUUCAAAAGCCAGGUUAACUAAAAAGUCAGCCAGUUCAUUUCCUUCUCUAAAAAUGAAAUACUGCCUUGACACAUUUGAGAGAUGCUCCUUAUAUCCUCAACUAUCACUGCUAUAUUCCAUGGCACUUCCCACACCAUAGUACGAAUUUUGUGUAGCAUGAAGGAGUCUAUUUCCAGACAUAUUUGAUUUAAAUCCCAAUGCUACACAGUAUAUGAAUGCCAGUGCUUCCCUUAUAACAAUAGCUUCCGCCUCUAUAGUCUGUAUUAGUAACUUUUUGAAUUUCUUCUCCCUGUGCAUACACUAGAUCUCCUGUAUAAUUCCUUAACAAAAACUGUAAGUGCUUCUGCCUGGAUUAACUCUGGAUGCACCACUUGUGUUGCAUUUAAUUCUAUCGCUUUGUGGUGGAUGCCAAAUGACUGGAUAGUAGAAUAACCUUGGGGUAUAAGUCUCUAAAUAUCCCAGAAUAUUUGGUCAACCUGUGGGUAGUAUCUGUGUGAGCCUCUGGAUGUCGGUGUUUAUUUAUACUAGGCUGUUGUAGGAGAGACUCCUUCCAUGCUUUAGGUUUUUCCCCAUCCUCAACUAUUUACUUCUUUGAUUCCAAAAUUACUACUUUCUUUUAAAUUUGUAAAGAAAAUCUUUUGGUACCAACUAUGGAUUUGAAGUAUCAGGUUCCAUCUCAUCUGAAUACUAGUAAUUGAAGCAUUUAUGCAGGCCUCGUUUAUAUCCUGCAUGUUUAAAUAGAAUAAUCAUUAUCUUGGACAUAAUUUGAUUUUGUUUUGGUUCUAAUUCUCCAAGUUGAUAUAGAUUAAAAGGUGUAUCCGAGUAGUUUGAAUUAUCCUUUUCCCGAGUUUUAUGUAAUCAUAAUUAUCAUGAAGUUAUGAAUGAUGAGUAAUUUGGUGUCCUUGCAGGUUUCUGUUGGUACUCUUCCUUUAAAUCCAAGUACAUAUGAAGUGGAAAAUUGAAGUCUUGCAACCACGUCUUGUUUGUUGUUCUUGUUUCUGCGUCAGCAUUUGUCCUUCCUAUUAUUUUUUGUGUUAUACUUUGAAGCAAAAAAAAAUGGACAUGCUACAUGUUUCUGUUGACAUCUCGCCUAUCCAUUUUUUGUUUCAAAGUAUAAUCAAAGAAGAAGAGGAAACACAAAUGUUGAUGGAGAAACAAGAGUAGCAAACUGGACGUGGUUGCAAAGAGAUUGAGGUAUAUUAAUGCAGAUGUUAUUCCCCUUUAAUGCUUGAUACGCAUUUAAUGCUUCCGACGGCCUCAACAUAAGGUGAGUUGUUUUCUACUAGUGAUACAAGAAUAAUCACGAAUAUGGUGCGCGUUGGUCCCGAGACUUGGUGUGUGCAAUUGAAGUGUAGAAGAGGCCCAAAACACACCAAAAUCAGCCUAUAACUUACACUUGAUGGGCAGCCCACUCUUUGAAGGCCCUUUUGAUCAUUUUAACUUAUAUCUUGUAAUAGCUAUAUAAAGAACAAUGUAGGGUUUUAUUUACUUAGUUUAUGAAUGGAGUUGUAAGUCUUACAAGACAAAGAAACACAAAUCCUCUUUCCUUGAGGCACCCAAAACCGAAAUUAGGGCUUAGACAAAUGUAGAAUCACUUGUGUUUGCAUUUGCUUGGAAACAUUGAUGCUUGGGAGGUGGAUUCCGAUCUUGUGUCUUUGUAAGAGAUAGGUUUAUUGUUGUGUGUAGUGUUAAGGGUCCAAGAGUUACCAUUCUUGGGUUCUUAACAUUAUACCUUC
This 3101-nucleotide long non-coding RNA is filed under the name Capsicum annuum. RNAcentral's name for it is "long non-coding RNA (CANN_LNC019697)". Lineage: Eukaryota; Viridiplantae; Streptophyta; Magnoliopsida; Solanales; Solanaceae. The record is from RNAcentral.